Molecule: transfer RNA, 69 nt
Filed under: Phyllocrania paradoxa
Lineage: Eukaryota; Metazoa; Arthropoda; Insecta; Mantodea; Hymenopodidae
Description: tRNA-Ser
Source: RNAcentral
AAGUUAUAAACUUAUUAUAAGCUUAUGAUUUGAAAUCAUAAUAAAAGGAUUUUACCCCUUUAUAACUUA